AAAUGGGCUGGGUAAUAUAGGUAGAUUUAAUGGGAUAAUGGGUAAUAGGAUAAUGGGGAUAAUUGGGCGGGUAAUAGGAAUAAUGGGAUAAUGGGGGGUGUGGGGGGGAUGUGGGGUUAUAUGGGGCUGGGGGGGAUGUGGGUCCCUAUUGGGCUCUAUGCGUCCCUAUGGGGCUCUGUGGGUCCCUAUGGGGGUCUAUGGUGGCUAAGCAGUGUCCCAGUGGGGCUCUAUAGGUCCCUAUGGGGUCUCUAUGGGUCCCAGUGGGUCCCUAUAGGUCUCUAUGGGUCCCUAUGGGGCUCUGUGGGUCCCUAUGGAGGUCUAUGGGGUCUGUGGGUCCCAGUGGGUCCCUAUGGGGUCUGUGGGUCCCAGUGGGUCCCUAUGGGGCUCUAUGGGUCCCUAUGGGGUCUGUGGGUCCCUAUGGGUCCCUAUGGGUCUCUAUGGGUCCCAGUGUGUCCCUAUGGGUCCCUAUGGGGUCUGUGGGUCCCUAUGGUGCCCUAUGGGUCUCUAUGGGUCCCUAUGGGUCCCUAUGGGGUCUGUGGGUCCCAGUGGGUUUCUAUGGGUCCCUAUGGGGUCUGUGGGUCUCUAUGGGUCCCUAUGGGGUCUGUGGGUCCCUAUGGGGUCUGUGGGUCCCUAUGGGUCUGUGGGGCUCUAUGGGUCCCUAUGGGGCUUUAUGGGUCUCUAUGGGGCUCUAUGGGUCCCUAUGGGGUUCUAUGGGUCCCUAUGGGGCUUUAUGGGUCCCUAUGGGGUCUGUGGGUCCCAGUGUGUCCCUAUGGGUCCCAGUGUGUUCCUAUGGGUCCCUAUGGGGUCUGUGGAUCUCUAUGGGUCCCUAUGGGGGUCUAUGGGUCCCUAUGGGGCUUUGUGGGUCCCUAUGGGUCCCUAUGGGUCCCUAUGGGUCCCAGUGUGUCCCUAUGGGUCCCUAUAGGUCUCUAUGGGUCCCUAUGGGNNNNNNNNNNNNNNNNNNNNNNNNNAGCUCUAUGGGUCUAAUCUCUAUGGGGCUGAUCUCUAUGGGGCUGAUCUCUAUGGGGCUGAGUUCUAUGGGUCUAAUCUCUAUGGGGCUGAGCUCUAUGGGGCUGAUCUCUAUGGGGCUGAGUUCUAUGGGUCUAAUCUCUAUGGGGCUGAGCUCUAUGGGGCUGAGCUCUAUGGGGCUGAUCUCUAUGGGGCUGAGCUCUAUGGGCCUGGCUCUAUGGGUCUAAUCUCUAUGGGGCUGAGUUCUAUGGGGCUGAGCUCUAUGGGGCUGGGCUCUAUAGUGCUGAUCUCUAUGGGGCUGAGCUCUAUGGGUCUAAUCUCUCUGGGUCUAAUCUCUAUGGGGCUGAGCUCUAUGGGGCUGAUCUCUAUGGGGUUGAUCUCUAUGGGGCUGAUCUCUAUGGGGCUGUGCUCUAUGGGGCAGGGCUCUAUAGUGCUGAUCUCUAUGGGGCUGGGAUCUAUGGGGCUGAGCUCUAUGGGGCUGGGAUCUAUGGGGCUGAGCUCUAUGGGUCUAAUCUCUAUGGGUCUAAUCUCUAUGGGUCUAAUCUCUCUGGGGCUGUGCUCUAUGGGGCUGAGCUCUAUGGGUCUAAUCUCUCUGGGUCUAAUCUCUAUGGGGCUGUGCUCUAUGGGGCAGGGCUCUAUAGUGCUGAGCUCUAUGGGGCUGUUCUCUAUGGGGCUGAGCUCUAUGGGGCUGAGCCCUAUGGGUCUAAUCUCUCUGGGUCUAAUCUCUAUGGGGCUGAGCCCUAUGGGUCUAAUCUCUAUGGGUCUAAUCUCUAUGGGGCUGAGCUCUAUGGGUCUAAUCUCUAUGGGUCUAAUCUCUAUGGGGCUGUGCUCUAUGGGGCUGAGCUCUAUGGGGCUGAUCUCUAUGGGGCUGAGCUCUAUGGGCCUGGCUCUAUGGGUCUAUUCUCUAUGGGGCUGUGCUCUAUGGGGCUGGGCUCUAUGGGGCUGAUCUCUAUGGGUCUAAUCUCUAUGGGUCUAAUCUCUAUGGGUCUAAUCUCUAUGGGGCUGUGCUCUAUGGGGCAGGGCUCUAUAGUGCUGAUCUCUAUGGGGCUGAUCUCUAUGGGGCUGGGCUCUAUGGGGCUGGGCUCUAUGGGGCUGGGCUCUAUGGGGCUGAGCUCUAUGGGGCUGGGUUCUAUGGGGCUGAUCUCUAUGGGGCUGAGCCCUAUGGGUCUAAUCUCUCUGGGUCUAAUCUCUCUGGGGCUGAGCCCCAUAGUGUGUGUGGUUUGGCUC
RNAcentral lists this long non-coding RNA (2193 nucleotides) under Coturnix japonica (Japanese quail). RNAcentral describes it as "lncRNA (ENSCJPG00005001867.1)". Lineage: Eukaryota; Metazoa; Chordata; Aves; Galliformes; Phasianidae. The record is from RNAcentral.